AGAAGCACCGGCUAACUCCGUGCCAGCAGCCGCGGUAAUACGGAGGGUGCAAGCGUUAAUCGGAAUUACUGGGCGUAAAGCGCACGCAGGCGGUCUGUCAAGUCGGAUGUGAAAUCCCCGGGCUCAACCUGGGAACUGCAUUCGAAACUGGCAGGCUAGAGUCUUGUAGAGGGGGGUAGAAUUCCAGGUGUAGCGGUGAAAUGCGUAGAGAUCUGGAGGAAUACCGGUGGCGAAGGCGGCCCCCUGGAC
Molecule: ribosomal RNA, 249 nt
Filed under: Klebsiella pneumoniae
Lineage: Bacteria; Pseudomonadati; Pseudomonadota; Gammaproteobacteria; Enterobacterales; Enterobacteriaceae
Description: partial 16S ribosomal RNA
Rfam family: Bacterial small subunit ribosomal RNA
Source: RNAcentral